AACGAACGCUGGCGGCGUGCCUAAUACAUGCAAGUCGAGCGAAUCAAAGGGAGCUUGCUCCCUGAGGUUAGCGGCGGACGGGUGAGUAACACGUGGGCAACCUGCCUAUAAGACUGGGAUAACUUCGGGAAACCGGAGCUAAUACCGGAUAAUUCAUAUCUACUCAUGUAGAUAUGCUGAAAGACGGUUUACGCUGUCACUUAUAGAUGGGCCCGCGGCGCAUUAGCUAGUUGGUGAGGUAACGGCUCACCAAGGCGACGAUGCGUAGCCGACCUGAGAGGGUGAUCGGCCACACUGGGACUGAGACACGGCCCAGACUCCUACGGGAGGCAGCAGUAGGGAAUCUUCCGCAAUGGACGAAAGUCUGACGGAGCAACGCCGCGUGAGUGAUGAAGGUUUUCGGAUCGUAAAACUCUGUUGUUAGGGAAGAACAAGUACUAGAGUAACUGCUAGUACCUUGACGGUACCUAACCAGAAAGCCACGGCUAACUACGUGCCAGCCGCCGCCGUAA
RNAcentral lists this ribosomal RNA (512 nucleotides) under uncultured bacterium. Its description in RNAcentral is "partial 16S ribosomal RNA". It matches the Rfam family "Bacterial small subunit ribosomal RNA", at positions 29 to 523 of the family's 1533-position model. The record is from RNAcentral.